UUCAUUACAUGGAAGCUUUGCAUUCAAUAAAAAUAAAGAAACGGUGGAUCUUUGUUAUAUUUAUUCUGUGGAAUUUUGUUCUAAUAUUUUAAGAACUUUAAAAGCAAAUAACAAUAAAAUAACUAACCUCAUUUACUCAUGAAACAUGAGAUGAACUGCUAUUAGAAGUUGAAAUGUGUCCGUAUCUGUUUUGUUCUUCCUACUAACUUUAUCCACAAACAUAACGCUUAAUGUAGUUCUAUAGACUAGUAUAUAUUUUUUGGUUAUGCCGAAAACGAGUCAUAGCCGGAGUUUGCCUCGAUGUGAAACCACAGAGGAAGGCAGGGACCGUCAAUAAAGUACACCAAAAAACCCCAGAAAUAAGCAGUUUCUCAGUUACUCACCAUAACAAUAAAGUUAAAAAAAGUUACUCACCAUAAAUAACUGCUAACAUCACAAGUACUCAUUAUUGUUCAAACAAACUCCACAUAAAUCCACAAUAUUAUUUUAUUACUGUUUUUCUUAGAGUGAACCAGCGUGUUCGAGUGAUGCAAGUUGUAGACGCGUCCUUCUUGUCACCUUAGGACAAAACUAAUAGUUCUAAAAAAGUUAUCAAAUUAUCAAAUUACUGGACUUUUUCUACACGCUGCAGCGCUUUCUAAAAUAAGCUGUUUAACAUUAAUUACAUUUAAAAAAAUGGCGGAUGAAACUACUAGUAGUUUCUGGCCCGCUAAUUUCCCCAAAUUUCGAUUCCGUUACAAUAAUAAAUGUUAAACUGCUUAUUAUUUCUGACUGUGGGUGUUUGUGGUCAAUUUCUCUGUAUUUGGACGUUCAGAAAGCGCUGCAGCGCGUAGAAAAAGUCCAGUUAUUUGAUAACUUUUUUUUGGAACUAUUAGCAUUGUAGUACUAGUAGUACUGCUUGUUUCAAAUCCGCCAUUUCGAGUUUUGAACAUUAGAAACAUAAAAUUGAAUCUGUUUCUUUUUACUGUGUUUUCGGCGCAACACAUUUAUACCAUUAUCUCACGAAAACAGUUGUUAUUAUCUCGUAGUAUGACUUAAUCACUCGAGAAAACGAACUUGAACAACAUGGCGGCCGUCGUCUUUCGUUUCCCUAAAAGUUUUUAACAAUUUCUUUGAUCUGAACCGCCACGUAUGAGCUGCUCGUCUUCUCAUGAUUGUCGCAUGUGUGAAGCUCAAAAAGCAGAAUUCUGCUCCUCACCGUCGUUUGGACUCAGGUUGAUCGGGAGAAGUAGGACAAGGAAGCACACAAGCCGAACCCAGAGCGGUUCUGAUCCGAACCUUUCACGCUGGAGUCCAGUAGGUGACUAGUCCGAGACAUUCAGGAAACGUCCGAAAAAGAAAAUCUCCCUUGAAAAAGUUUAGGAAUUUAGAAACAAUAAAGAAAGCACAAGUAAGAUUUUGUUUAUCUAUAAAUGGACCCCCCCCCCCACCACUGUAAAAUCAUUACUGAAAUAAGUAAAAUAAUAAACUAAAAAAUGAGGUUUUUAAAGACAACACAAACACAGUAAAAACAUUGAUUUCCACCUUUACUGAAUGUCUGUGAAUCUAUCAAUCGAUGACCUCACGUGUUCAUGGUUUUCAUCCAUUUACAGGUUCUUUUUGUUGAGAAAAUUCGUUCCAGUUGUUUGUUUCUUUAGAAGGAUCAGCAGCAGAUGAUUUUUAUGCUGCAACCGCGCACAGCGGGCCGCGAACUCGCGAGCUUCUGCACGGCGACAGGAAGUCUUCCUCCGACGGGCCUGAUCAGAGUGUUCCAACUUCUCAAUCAAUCAAAUGGCCAGAAUUGUUCCAAUUUCUAGUAUCAAACUUUGCUGUGUCCAAUCAGAGAGCCGGAUUCGUUCCAAUUCCUUCAAAUAACUGCCGGUUUUCCAUUAUUUUAAGACAAAUAAACAGUUUGCAUUAUUUCAAGUGUCUAAAAGAGAUUAAUGUAUUUGUGAAGAAGUGAACUCACGUUGUUACGUGUGUUUUAGUGAAAAAGGAAAAGGAAAGAACAUAUUUAAUACAAAGUUUGCAGGCGGAGAUGAUUUUGUUUUUACAGGGAACGUUUAUUUGCAAUAAAAGUAGAAUUGAAAAGAAAAUAUCAAGAAUAAACUUCUUUUGAAUCAGAACAUUUUUAAUAAUAGGAAUAUUGUUUCCACAGAAACCUAAAAUGUGUGCAGAGAUUUAAAUGGAAAUGAGAUCCAGCAAAGUACCAGGAGUGAAGAAGCUGAGAGGAGAUUUCUCCGAUGAUGCUGUGAUGAUGAACCUGCUGGUGUUUCUGCGGCAGCUCUAACCUCUGUCAUUGUUCACCAGCAGAAACCUGGAAAAACACAGAACGACCCACUGACUGACUUUGGAUGAAGAAAGAGGAAGACUCCCACCAGCUUUCAUGGGAGAAGAAGGUCCAAGACUUAAUCAUCGA
Oryzias latipes (Japanese medaka) is the source of this 2398-nucleotide non-coding RNA. The record is from RefSeq and is a predicted model, not a curated record. NCBI's taxonomy places the organism in Eukaryota, Metazoa, Chordata, Actinopteri, Beloniformes, Adrianichthyidae.